Molecule: ribosomal RNA, 253 nt
Filed under: uncultured bacterium
Lineage: Bacteria
Description: partial 16S ribosomal RNA
Rfam family: Bacterial small subunit ribosomal RNA
Source: RNAcentral
UACGUAGGUGGCAAGCGUUGUCCGGAAUUAUUGGGCGUAAAGCGCGCGCAGGCGGUCCUUUAAGUCUGAUGUGAAAGCCCACGGCUCAACCGUGGAGGGUCAUUGGAAACUGGAAGACUUGAGUACAGAAGAGGAAAGCGGAAUUCCACGUGUAGCGGUGAAAUGCGUAGAGAUGUGGAGGAACACCAGUGGCGAAGGCGGCUUUCUGGUCUGUAACUGACGCUAAGGCGCGAAAGCGUGGGGAGCAAACAGG